Molecule: non-coding RNA, 72 nt
Organism: Phrynosoma platyrhinos (Desert horned lizard)
Lineage: Eukaryota; Metazoa; Chordata; Lepidosauria; Squamata; Phrynosomatidae
Source: the annotation of a GenBank genome assembly
GCCAGUGUGGCACAGUGGUUUGAGUGUUGGACUAUGGCUCUGGAGAUCUGAGUUCAAUUAUCUGCUCAGACA